RNAcentral lists this ribosomal RNA (408 nucleotides) under uncultured bacterium. RNAcentral's name for it is "bacterial SSU rRNA". It matches the Rfam family "Bacterial small subunit ribosomal RNA", at positions 100 to 520 of the family's 1533-position model. The record is from RNAcentral.
GGACGGGUGAGGAACACGUAGCUAACCUGCCCCGAUGCGGGGGAUAGCCACCGGAAACGGUGAGUAAUACCGCAUGAGUAUCUACCUUCGGGAGGAGGUACGAUGAAAGGUCUUCGGACCGCGUUGGGAGGGGGCUGCGUCCGAUUAGCUAGCUGGUGGGGUAACGGCUUACCAAGGCGACGAUCUUUAGCUGGUCUGAGAGGAUGAUCAGCCAGACUGGGACUGAGCACACGGCCCAGACUCCAUACGGGAGGCAGCAGUAGGGAAUUUUCCACAAUGGGGGCAACCCUGAUGGAGCAACGCCGCGUGCAGGAUGAAUGUCUUCGGAUUGUAAACUGCUUUUCUCUGUGACGAAUAUGACGGUAGCAGAGGAAUAAGGACCUGCUAACUACGUGCCAGCCGCCGCGG